RNAcentral lists this long non-coding RNA (914 nucleotides) under Anser cygnoides (Swan goose). RNAcentral describes it as "lncRNA (ENSACDG00005003365.1)". Lineage: Eukaryota; Metazoa; Chordata; Aves; Anseriformes; Anatidae. The record is from RNAcentral.
GCUUGCUCGUUUGUCUCCAUUAGGUAUGUAUAUCAAGUGGGUUUGCUCCUUCCUGUGAGGGUAGAUGCUCUGUAUGCUGUUGGAUUUGAGUGGAAACUUUGCUUCUUGUGAGUGGGAAUUGUUAAUGAUAAAUGAGCUGGAGAGGAGAAGUUUGAUGGAGAUGGGAAGAGGUAUAACUUAUCUGAGGAAGGAAUAAGAUUCUCCUACAAGGCUUGUAAUCAUCAUUCUGAACGCUGUACUCCAAACCAAAGCACUUUGCUGUCUCACUCUGACAUCAAAUGAGAGCGAUUGCUCUCCUGCUGAAGUGAAAGCAUUGCUAAGCAGCACCAGGGCAGCAGUUACAAAAGUAAAGGCAGAGAUUUCCCUGCUGGUGCUGUGAGAAGGUGGCGAUGGGUCCUUAAGGAACCAGGCUCGACCCUGCGCAGGGGUGUUUGGAUACAUAUCUGCCUGAACCUGAAGCCAGAACACUAUCCAGCCUCAGAUGCAGCUCAGAAUUUAGGUGAUGCUUCGGUGCUCAUGACACACAGCUCUGCUGAGCCUGGCAGCCUCAGGUGAAGGUGCUUCACCACAUACCAGAGGGGAUUUAGCUUGGUCUCAUGGAUCCAGCUGGAGAAGGAUCUGAUAUGUCUGGUAAUGGAGUGGAUUGUGAACAGCAGAAAAUUAACUACAUGCAGGAGGUAUCGAGUUUGAGAAAAGAGUGCAGCAUUCACAGGAAGGUUAUCUUCAUACCAGCUCUUUCACUAGGAAGGUCAGAGGAAGAAGACUGCUUGUUCAAGCUAAUCAGGAAAUGUUCUAAUCAUCAAGAGGAAUAUCUGAAAUGUAAAGUGCACAGCAUACUUCAUGUGAUAGCAACCUGCAGCAUAUGGAUUGCAUUUAAUCAGAAGCAGUAUUCAUCUGCUAGACUCAAUGCCUGA